AUAACUACACAAGUAAUCACACUUAUUAGUCAAGGUGAGACAUUAUGCAAUUGUUUAAUGAUGAAUUCUACAUAUAUAAAAGAACAGACAAUAGCUUACACAAAUGUGUGAAUGUAAAGAUAGUGUAAAUGUUAAGAAUACUAACCAGUUAAGCAAAACAAAUUGAUUCAACUUUUACUCGAACAAAGUAGCAAAAUAGCGAAGAAGAACACUUGAAUAUUUACCGGAUUC
Molecule: unclassified non-coding RNA, 231 nt
Filed under: Hevea brasiliensis (rubber tree)
Lineage: Eukaryota; Viridiplantae; Streptophyta; Magnoliopsida; Malpighiales; Euphorbiaceae
Source: RNAcentral